GAUGAACGCUGGCGGCGUGCCUAAUACAUGCAAGUCGAGCGAACAGAUGAGGAGCUUGCUCCCCUGACGUUAGCGGCGGACGGGUGAGUAACACGUGGAUAACCUACCUAUAAGACUGGGAUAACUUCGGGAAACCGGAGCUAAUACCGGAUAAUAUAUUGAACCGCAUGGUUCAAUAGUGAAAGACGGUUUUGCUGUCACUUAUAGAUGGAUCCGCGCCGCAUUAGCUAGUUGGUAAGGUAACGGCUUACCAAGGCAACGAUGCGUAGCCGACCUGAGAGGGUGAUCGGCCACACUGGAACUGAGACACGGUCCAGACUCCUACGGGAGGCAGCAGUAGGGAAUCUUCCGCAAUGGGCGAAAGCCUGACGGAGCAACGCCGCGUGAGCGAUGAAGGUCUUCGGAUCGUAAAACUCUGUUAUUAGGGAAGAACAAAUGUGUAAGUAACUAUGCACGUCUUGACGGUACCUAAUCAGAAAGCCACGGCUAACUACGUG
This 497-nucleotide ribosomal RNA is filed under the name uncultured bacterium. RNAcentral describes it as "partial 16S ribosomal RNA". It matches the Rfam family "Bacterial small subunit ribosomal RNA", at positions 28 to 507 of the family's 1533-position model. The record is from RNAcentral.